RNAcentral lists this long non-coding RNA (706 nucleotides) under Medicago truncatula (barrel medic). RNAcentral's name for it is "lncRNA gene26459". The record is from RNAcentral. Lineage: Eukaryota; Viridiplantae; Streptophyta; Magnoliopsida; Fabales; Fabaceae.
UCUGUCUUGACUAUGAUAAUAAUGGAGCAGAUUUUCAACAACUUCAAACGUAGUACUUGUACGCUGUUCAGAAUUGUAAAUUGAUGCUAACUUAAGGUACUGUAUAUGCUUUUAAAUCUCAACGAAUGAUAGUUUGAUUUUGGUUGCUGAUUUAAGAACCAGCUUGUUUCUUGAUUUAUAAUGAGGUGGAUUUUAAAAGCAUUGUUUCAUUAGCAGUAUUUCACAGUAGGGUCACAGUGUCAUACAGAUGCAACAUUUCAUUAAGAUGUUGAUGGAUCAUACUUUCAUUUGACUUGGUUAGGAAUAAUGAAGUAUACAUAUUUACAGUGCACAGAGCUAAAGGUCUAUUUCCCUUCCAUAUAAAAAUAGUAUGGGAAUUAUUCCCACUCAGCAUCAAAGAAUCCAGCAUCUUUCAUCUCAGAAUAAUAUGCGUUGUCCAAAAGAAAGUCUUCCUCCUGCAGCAAGUGCGUGGUGCAAAUUCACAACAUGAUGUUUGUUAAUGAACAUAUUAUAGAAAAAUCAAAGUCAAACAGUAAAUAGCAAAGAAUGCUUACUUGGAAAAAAUCUGCCAGAAAAGUUGCAUAAAGAAAUGGAAGAUAUAAAGAGUGAUAACAUAGUACAGUAAAAUCAUACAACCUGCAGAUGACAAGAAUAUCGGUUAUUUAUUGCAAAAGCUAUAGAGAUAAUAACCGAGUACCUCUUCUAA